AGAGACAGCAGCCGCCGCGGGAAUACGGAGGGAGCUAGCGUUGUUCGGAAUUACUGGGCGUAAAGCGCGCGUAGGCGGUUACUCAAGUCAGAGGUGAAAGCCCGGGGCUCAACCCCGGAACUGCCUUUGAAACUAGGUGACUAGAAUCUUGGAGAGGUCAGUGGAAUUCCGAGUGUAGAGGUGAAAUUCGUAGAUAUUCGGAAGAACACCAGUGGCAAAGGCGACUGACUGGACAAGUAUUGACGCUGAGGUGCGAAAGCGUGGGGAGCAAACAGGAUUAGAUACCCCAGUAGUCCCUGUCUCUUAUAC
Molecule: ribosomal RNA, 309 nt
Filed under: uncultured bacterium
Lineage: Bacteria
Description: partial 16S ribosomal RNA
Rfam family: Bacterial small subunit ribosomal RNA
Source: RNAcentral